RNAcentral lists this transfer RNA (77 nucleotides) under Verrucomicrobiota bacterium. Its description in RNAcentral is "Verrucomicrobia bacterium tRNA-Arg". It matches the Rfam family "tRNA". Rfam says of the family: Transfer RNA (tRNA) molecules are approximately 80 nucleotides in length. The record is from RNAcentral. Lineage: Bacteria; Pseudomonadati; Verrucomicrobiota. RNAcentral also lists the same sequence under 1 other name.
GCAUCCGUAGCUCAAUUGGAUAGAGCAUCUGACUACGGAUCAGAAGGUUGAAGGUUCAACUCCUUCCGGAUGCGCCA